GCAAGUUCAUUAUCACUAGAUUUUUUUUUUUUUUUUUUUACCUUAUAAGGAGUUCCAAUGUUUCAAAAAGUUUUAAGGCAACCUUGAGACUUUUCUUAUCAAGAACUGAGGUGUAAGUAUUCAAUUCUCCCAAAAACUUAAGCCAGUGGUUGAAGGCAAAUUUAAUUAUAUACCACUAACUCUCCACAUCACUUGUGGGCUUGAAAUAUUUGAUAAAGGCCCAACAAGUGGAAAUCAAUUUCAAUUGGGGAAGAAACGACAAUGUAUGGCUUGAACACAAAACCUCCCUGAAGCAUCUGCUCUGAUACCAUAUUAAACCACCUAUUCACCAAAAAACUUAAAUUAAUGGUUGAAGGCAGAUUUAAUUAUAUAUCACUAAUAAUGGUAAGCUUUGAGGUGGUGUGAGGCAUGAGGCUAAUUUCAAAUAGAGUAAAAAGCAUAAAAUCGUACAAGCUUACCAGCCUAGUAUUGUAGCAUUUAGAAAGAUUAAACUACAUCAACUAUUACCUUUAUCUUUUGAGCUAAAAACAAUACCUAAAAUUAGGGAAAUAAAGGAAGAAUACACAAAACAAAUUAAAAAACAAAGGAAAAACAUAGGAAGAAAGUUGAAAAAAAAGACAUGGGAAAAUAUAGCAACUUUUUUUUUUUUAAAUUAAUUUUUAUAAUUAGAACGGCAUACCAUACAUAAAUUUAGAAAACAUGAAAAAUAUCUUGUAGAGUUAUAUUUAUUUUAAAAGUUGUAGAAGUAUAAAAUAUUACAAGAGUUGGCAGUAACACCACAGAAAAAAUAGAAGAAAAGAAAAACCUUCGAUAUUUAGCAUAGAGAAAUUUUUCCAUGGGCCCUGGCUGUUCUAAGGAAGAAGCUACCCGGUUUGUUUUUGAGAAGGGUGGUUUGAUAUUUAGCAUUAAUAACCUUCCUCCGUUGAGCCAUUGAGCCAUGUUUAGACUAUUAUUGCCAAAUCCAUUUUGCAAGAAGGGUUCUGUUCCUGUCUUUCAAAGCAUAAAACCCAAAUCCAUCUUCUUUCAUGGGAUUAAGAAGAAUUUCCCAUUUAAAAGAUGAAGACCCUCAUCUUUGUUACCCUUCCAUAUCUUACUCAUAAUUAUGCCUCAAAGGCGUAAGUAUAAAAACACACACCUCUUUUCUUUUAAAGCAAAAGCCUAUUUCAAGCCUUUAUUAUUAUUAUUUUUAUUAAAUGAAAACGACUAAUUUCAUUGAGACAAAAGUGAAAAAACACACACAAAAAAAAAAAAAAAAAAAAAAAGAAAAAGAAAAAAAAGAAAAAAAAGAUAGAAGUCAUGUGAAGCAAGUGCAUGCAUCAAGUAAUAUAAUAUGGUUAAAAGCUUAAAAUGGCUUUGGUCAAGUAUCGUCUUGGGGAAUUAGAUUGAUAAAUUUUUAGCUAUUUUAUAGAUCAUUCCAACUUUAUUUAAGAUCAACUCAUGAGAUAGAUUAAAUAACCUAAGCUAAGGAAGCAAUAAAAGUGAUAUUAGAAAGCGAUAGAAGCGAUGUUGUGUUAUUAGCAAGAAAAUGUUCUAGGGAAUAAACUUCACUUGUGGAAUUACUGAACUCAAUUGCUUUACUCUUGAAUCAAUUAACACAAUAUCUAGAUCGAGAAGUCUUUUAUCUAGAUUGAGUCUUUCAAAACAAUAUUUUCUUUCACUUAAUUACUACUUACUAAUCACUUGAAACAAGGCAAUGAAGCAAAACAUUAAAACCAUUCUUUAACAAUCUCUACUAAUAUCCAACUACCCUUGUGUGUUCAGAUAAUAGUCUAACAUGAUCUAAUCUAAAACUUACUCGUUAAAGUUAGAUUUAAAUCAUGAAAUAAAUAUUGAUCAAACAUUCAAAAUCAUUAAGAACUGUCAUGCUAGAUAGUAAUAAUGUAAAUUAGAUUCAAGAUCAACAAAAGUGUUUAGAAAUAUUCCAUAAAAUCCAUCUAAACCUAGAACUAGGAGAAGUUAGCCUAACAUGGUUAGAACCACAAUUAGAAUGCAAAACAAAGAAAGAUCAAAUAUACAAAAGAGAAGGAAAAGUGUUACCUGAAGUUUUGACCUCGUCUAUGUGAUAGAUUCACCCUCCAAUCUUCUCCAAUCGACUUUGACAUCAAAUAAUUCUAUACUCUGCUCAAAAUACUCUCUCCAGGCCUCGAAACUCCAAAAUUUCAUGUGGAGGCCAGCCAUAAACCUUAUAACUUCCAAAAGUGUGCAUAUUUUUCCCAAAUUGACCUAGCACCUAGGCAUUGCCCUUGGCGCUCCCAAAAUCUUUGCUUCUGGAAAUUGUGCAAUCACGACCUUAUUUUUCGGUAAAUCUUCUUUUCCUCCCUAUAUUCUUCGAUGGUUGAUCCUGAUGAUCGCGAUCAAAAGGGUAUGUGGGAAUAUAAGUCGAAUCCAUAGGAAACCUUUGUGUUUCUCAAAUAAAAUGCCUACGAUCCUCAAAUAACUGAGGAGGGGGGGGGGUGUUGAUCGAAGUUGUUUGCAGUUGAAAAUAGCUUUGCAUGAGAUUUAAAUGAGAGCAAAAAAGAGAUUUGUGAAAUUUAAUAAUGAAAAAAUCUAGCAAAAGAUGUAUGUGCAAGGACCCUAGAUAGGGAAACAGUAGAAUAUUAGUAGGAAAUGAAGACGGUUAUUAAUGGGGGCACAUUAUUAAAUAGUUAUUAAGUUAGUUAGGUCUUUUCAUUAUAAAUAGUAGGAGAGGGAUUAGGGGAGAGGGGUGAAGAAUUUUGUAAAGGGAUUUCCUUGUAACCACCUUGGGAGAGUCUAGCCCUCUCGAAAGGCUAGGGUUACUUUGUUAUUGUUCUUAUGAUAAUUUAGGAUAUAUUUCAUACAUUUUCCUAUUUGAUUGUCUUUAACUGUUCUUGAGUUCUCAACCUUUGUCUUGAGAUAAUUCUUGUUAGGUGGGAUCCUAACAGUAUGCUCUCUCCUCCUUCCUCCGUUGUCUUCUCCAUUGAUCAUCUACACCUUUUUGGUGAUUUCUCCGACAUUUUCUUCAAUCCUCAACAUCACUCUCAGUCUUCUCCAGGGUUUUUUUUCGGCUUAGAUCUAGUACAAUGGAAGUAAAAAGUUGCAAAAUACUUCACUCGCACUUUUGUGUUUGGCUGGAAAAUGACCUUUUUCAUAUGGAGGAUAUGGAAGCUCAACGAUCUCUAGUUGUCCCAAAUGCCCACCUGAAUUGGUUCCCUACAGCGAUAGCAAAGUUAGUCAGAUCCUUGGAGAAUCGUUUCUUUCUGAAAUUUGGGGAGCUAGAUCAUGGGAGAACGAAGCAAAAGUUCAAAUCCAAUAAUUGUUAGGUUUUAUGUUGUGACUUCUGCCUAGCUUCAGGUGGACUUUCAACCAUUAGGGUUUUUUCAGAGGAAGACAAAAGGGGUGGUCGUUCUUUGUCCUGAUGUUGGAAUGGUUCCUAUCAAACUUGCACUAUAAGAAAUGGUUCUCGAGCCAUCGCCCUCUAACUCAACUCCCAUCAGAGCUCCAAAGAUCGUCUUAUGUGGAGAGUUAAGUCCCUUGAUUUUGCGGCCAUUAAUCAUAAUAAAGGGAACCCGAGCCAUUGUGCGAGCUUGAAAGUCUAUACUACCUGCUUUGAUACCAUAUUAAACCACCAAUUCACCCAAAAUCUUAUUUUUGGGUGAAUUGGUGGUUUAAUAGGACUCUUCCAUCUUUUAGUUGAAAAAUGGAACAAGUUCAAACAUGGCAAGUUGGAAGUUAUUUGAGGCUUCGAGAGUUACCAUCCAUCAACAACUUACCAUUAGAUUAUUGCAAGAAGGAUGUCUUUUUUGCAAUUGGGAAUUAUUUUGAGGCCUCAAGAGCAUAUCCCUUAAAUACAUUGAAUAUGAAUAAUGUGUCGAAAGCUAAAAUUAAGGUGAAGGAAAAUCUCUAUGGUUUUUUACCGGCAACAAUCGAAUUAAAGGAUGAAUUUCGUGGAAACUUUUAUCUUAAUUUAUGAGAUAUUGAAAUUAUUAAAGAUCCCUUAGCCGUUCAAGAUGCCCUCUUUAUCAAGGAUUUCUCAAAUCUGAUAGACUUGGCAAGGAUUUGUCUUAAGAUGAAGAUCUAGAUUUGAAUAUCUUUAAUCAGGAACGGGACUUUCUCAAUUUGUCUCUUUCAAAGCUAGGCUUCUCAAGAAAUCCUUGUGUUGACUUCAAUAGUAAUUCCGGUUGGGGAUCCUUGCUCAUCUUGGUGUAAUCUUCCACCCGCCGCAUUAAAUUUGGAUAGGAAAUUCAAAUUUGGAGGCAAACUUGAUUGAAAAAGGCCAAGAGUUUCUUUCACAUAGGAGAUAGAAAAUGCGGCUGAGACCUUUACUUUGCCCAAUAAGAAUCAUCACACAACAUUUAAACAAGUAGUUAAACUUCUCUUAAAUUAAUUCGGCUGAUACCUUUUUAAAGAAAGGGCCAAGCUCCCUUCAACUUAUUCUUCCGGUUCUUUCUCCUCUUCUUCUCUUUAUUCCUCAGCAAAGUAGGCUGGAGAGCAAAAAAAGAAAGAAAAAAAUCAAAGAAGAUUUCGACUAAACAGUCCUUAAAAGUGCAGAUAGUUGAAGAUCAAGUGCUUGAAUUGCUAGAGGCAAAAAGCGUUCCCCCACUCUCAAUCCUUAGUCAAACCCAGCAGAUUCAAGCUGUUUUUAGAGGCUAAUUCAUAUUUGUUGGAAGUUAGUUGCACCCAAAUUCAAGCUCCUGCAUGUUCUAUCAAGUCAGAUUGUCAUUUUUCUCACCCUUUGCAGUUUAAGUUCUUAGAGUUCUCUUUGCCCAACUCGAAGGUAAAAUUUUUUAGGGGCUCUCCGAGCAAAACCCCUCUCAUUCCCUCUAGAAAGAAGAGUGAGUUUUCCAUCAACUCUCCUUUCAACAUUAGUAGUGAGAAAGUGGAGCUUUUGGCUAAGCAACCGAGCUUGAGAGGCUGACGUUUAGAGCCUUUACAAACAGAUCUUAAUGCCUUGUUUGAAUGCAAGGCAGACCUGAAAUCUGAAAAUUUACCCUCUGCUGCUUGCUCUUGUCCCCAGUCUUGCGAAAUAUUAGAUCAUCUAAAGUCAAUAAUUGCCGAUUGUGGACUAAUUUUAAUUUGAUUCUUCAGCUGUUUAAAUGUAAUCCCUUUAGAUGAUCAGACCAAUUUCCGUCUUUCCUUGAUCUUUUCAUGUGGGCAGCGAGUAAAGCCUCACUUUUUGGAAAGGAUACAGAUCUUUUUAUUAGAUAUAAAAUAAGAAAGAGACAUAGUUCUAUGUACAUGAGGGAUAUGCAAAGAGACACCCCCCUAGCGCUCAUCAGGUCCAAGAAACUACAAACUUACUUAACCAGUUACAUCAAGAAACUCGAGUCCAAACAAGCUGAGACAGCACAAAAUUAGCACUAAUAAGAGUAGAAAGUAGAAAAACUUCUUAGAUAAUACACUCUUUAAGACACAUGAAAGUCUGCCAAUUUAAUUGAAUCUCUUGUGAGGAAUAAUCCUGGAAACCCUUGGAUACAGAGCACCAUGACGAAGCAUUUAAAUUGAGCAAACUCAAAACGAUUAUUCCAGCUUGAGGCCUUGUCGUGGAAAAAGACGCUGAUUUCUUUUGAACCAUAACUCUACAAGUAAAGCCUCACUGAUUGUGAAAUAGUUGCUGAUGGUUUUGAAGACUUCUUCGAGCUUCCUCUAGGUUUUGGAUUAUUUUGGCAAGACAGUCUUGAGGCAGCCAGUUGCAUCUUCUUUGCAUCUCUCUUUCUCCUGUUGAAGAUUUGGCCACACAAGAUUUUAGAUUCAAUUGGGUUCCUUUUGUGAGAGUUUUUAAGUUUUGCUUUGUAAUUAGCUUUCUACAUUUGUUUUAACUUUGAAUGGUAUGUUUAACUUGUUUAUUUUCUGCUGGAA
Cucumis melo (muskmelon) is the source of this 5817-nucleotide long non-coding RNA. RefSeq lists it as uncharacterized. NCBI's taxonomy places the organism in Eukaryota, Viridiplantae, Streptophyta, Magnoliopsida, Cucurbitales, Cucurbitaceae. The transcript has 2 exons. The record is from RefSeq and is a predicted model, not a curated record.